AGAAUCAACGCUGGCGGCGUGCCUAACACAUGCAAGUCGAAUGAGAAAGUGGAGCAAUCCAUGAGUAAAGUGGCGCACGGGUGAGUAACACGUGAAUAAUCUACCUCCGAGUGGGGAAUAACUGAGAGAAAUCUUAGCUAAUACCGCAUAACACUUACGAGUCAAAGCAGCAAUGCGCUUGGAGAGGAGUUCGCGGCCGAUUAGUUAGUUGGCGGGGUAAUGGCCCACCAAGACGAUGAUCGGUA
RNAcentral lists this ribosomal RNA (245 nucleotides) under uncultured bacterium. Its description in RNAcentral is "partial small subunit ribosomal RNA". It matches the Rfam family "Bacterial small subunit ribosomal RNA", at positions 26 to 285 of the family's 1533-position model. The record is from RNAcentral.